Molecule: long non-coding RNA, 1266 nt
Filed under: Chloebia gouldiae (Gouldian finch)
Lineage: Eukaryota; Metazoa; Chordata; Aves; Passeriformes; Passeridae
Description: Erythrura gouldiae (Gouldian finch) lncRNA (ENSEGOG00005013338.1)
Source: RNAcentral
AUGCCGAUCCCCCUGCCCCGCCUGGGAGAAGCCAAUGGCCAGAGCCCAGCGGAGGGCACCGCUCACUGCUGGGGAGGCUGGGGGCACCCACAGCCCUGCCACGGCUCUGCUGCCCCCUCCAAGGCUCCCCCAGGGGGCACGGGGAGGGGUGUCCCAGUGCGGGGAGGAAGAGUCGGGGGCAGUGGGCAGCACACCGGCUCUGCCCCACCCCGUGCUGUACCCUGUCCAGGGAGCAGGAAGGCCGAUGACCCUGCACCGUGGAGGAGGCCUUUGGGGAGGUUUGUGUGGGUGAUGAUUUGUCCUCUUCCACUGGUCCCUGCCAUACUGCUGGGGUCUGGGAAGGGGAUGGGGAGGUGGGUGACGGGGAGCCGGGGCCUUGCCAGCAGCCCCGGACCCCCGGCAGCCCCGGCUGCCUCCCUGCCAUGGGAGGUGCUGGCAGCCAUUGAUGUAGCAAGUGUCCCUGUCUGUGUGUCAUUGUGUGUCCCAGCCACUGCCACUGGCAGCCCCUGUCCCCCUGCCCUGCCCCACACGGCUCAGGCCCUGCCGGAGGCACGGUCCCCUCUGGCUGGAGCCACGCUCCGGGCGCGGUGCCGGCCGUCCAGUGGGUUGGAUGCUCGGGGCCGGGCUGGCUCUGCUGUGCCAGUGUCCCCGUGGCCCCUCUGCAGACUCUUUGUACCCAGGGACUGGAGGAGGUGGCAGCGGUGCACCCCAGGCUGGCCUGCACAGCCCGGGAGCAGGGGAGGGAGCUCCGAGUGGCCUCCGUGGGCCCGCCUGAUUCUCUGUGCUGUCCCCAUCACCCCUCCUUGCUGUCACCCCUUCCCCAAACCUGUCACCCUCCCCUGGGGCUGGCGGGGAAGCGGCAGCAGGACCGACCCUGCCGGGGCUGGCUGCAGCGAGGCAGGGCACGGUGGCAGCAGCCACUGGUGGCCCCUUAGUGACAAAGUCCUGGGGUGUGCGUGGAGGUCACACCUUCCCUCCUGGAUUUGGGCACCCAGCAGAGCAGGGAGCUCACCCCACCGCCGUGGUGGGGAAGCUGUGGGGGCACUCCAAAGCAGGAGCACCCUGCUGUGGUUCGGGCUUCCCCCCCAUGGGGUGGGUGCCGUGGGGCAGCCCCGGUGCCCCAAUUCCCCACAAAGGGCUAUAACGCUUUCCAGCAGCAGCAGCAGCAGUUUACAGAGCAGGGGCCGCCCCCGCCCCCGCCGUGCCCCGUCCCCGGCACCCCCGGGCCCGGCGUUAGACGUAGCAUUGCCCCACGUAGAGAGCUAG